Molecule: ribosomal RNA, 253 nt
Filed under: uncultured bacterium
Lineage: Bacteria
Description: partial 16S ribosomal RNA
Rfam family: Bacterial small subunit ribosomal RNA
Source: RNAcentral
UACGUAGGGUGCAAGCGUUGUCCGGAAUUAUUGGGCGUAAAGAGCUCGUAGGCGGUCUGUCGCGUCGGAUGUGAAAACCUGGGGCUCAACCCCGGGCCUGCAGCCGAUACGGGCAAACUAGAAUUCGGUAGGGGAGACUGGAAUUCCUGGUGUAGCGGUGAAAUGCGCAGAUAUCAGGAGGAACACCGGUGGCGAAGGCGGGUCUCUGGGCCGAUAUUGACGCUGAGGAGCGAAAGCGUGGGGAGCAAACAGG